UGUUUUGUCCGCUCCGAGCUGAGCCAGCCCUUACUGUGCCUGCCAAACCUGUCCCUCCCUCCCUCUCCUCCUGCUCUACCCCGCCCUUCUCUCUCUCCUCUCUUCUGUCCUCUUUCUCUCGUGUCCUAGUAAAGAAAAGACAGUUUGAUUGCACAGCUAGCCCACCGCUCAUAUCAUCCGCCUCCCCUCGCCCCCCCUCUCUCUCUCUCUCUCACUCACAAACAAACAAACAAACAAGCCUGGAUCGAGCGAAUUCAGCCGAGCUUCAGAAACCCUUGCAAGCUCGUAGCAACUUCUCUCAACCUUAUUCGGCUUUCUUCUAGCUAUAUAACGACCCUAAAUUAGUCUGCUUCAUUCGGUUCUUGCGAAUUGCCAAGACCGAAAGAACAGCUUAUUACUCUUCUGUUAGAAAGACUCGAAGAGGCCGGCCGAGAUAGACUAUCAGCUAGCUAGAGGGAGCUAACUACCUACCUAGCUAGCCAUGUGUGACUACUUCCUGCAAAGGAUGGAUCAGGGCGACCACCACCACCACCACCAGGCCGGAGACCUCACGGACGUCGUCCGAGCCGGCGGCGCGAUGCAUCAGGCAGCUGUCGCGGAGCUCCCCUCCGCGGACACGGGGUGGCAGCUCCCGGCCGAGCCAGCAGCUGGAGCAUGCCUCUUCCCGCCACCCCAGCCCUCGUCGUCGGACUGCGACGGCUUCGCGGACGCGUUCGCCGGCCUCCCGGACCCAUUUGCCAGCGACUUUCGCACCUCCUCCUCCUCCGGCGUGGGCCUUUGCCCUGCCGACGACUUCUUCGACUUCGAGGCGCCUGCUGCUGCUGCUGCCGGUGGCGGCGCUCGAAGAGGCGGAGGCGUACUGGCGGGCGCGCAGAUGCCCGCGCUGUCGCCGAGAGAGAUACGGCCGUACCCGGUGACGAUGGGCGGCGACACCGUGAAGAUCGGCGCGCCGACGAUGAUGCCCGGGCUGGCCGUUGGGCCGCCCUGCUGUGCGUUCGACGCUGUCGCCGGGAUGCAGAUGCCGUCGCCGCACGCGCACGGUGGCGGGAUCAAGCGCAGGAAAAACCAGGCAAGGAAGGUGGUCUGCAUCCCAGCUCCUGCACCAUCAUCGGCAGGAGGAAGGACCACUGGGGAGGUUGUUCCUUCUGAUCUCUGGGCUUGGAGGAAGUAUGGACAGAAGCCUAUCAAAGGAUCACCCUACCCAAGAGGGUACUACAGAUGCAGCAGCUCUAAAGGAUGCCCGGCGCGGAAGCAGGUGGAGCGCAGCCGAACCGACCCAAGCCUGCUCGUGAUCACCUACAACUCGGAGCACAACCACCCUUGGCCGACGCAGCGCAACGCGCUCGCCGGCUCAACACGCUCUCACCACGCCAAGAGCGGCAAGAACAGCUCCUCGCACAGUCUGCAGAAGCCGAACCUUAAAGCGGAACCGGAGCAUCACCAAGCCUCGGAGGCGGUCCCCAGCUACGCCACCACCGCGACCGCAGCCACAACCACAAGCACCACCACCACAGCGACCACAAGCACCACCAGCAACAGUACUCCUCCGGAGACGGUGGCUGCAGUGAAAGAGGAGGCGAUGGUUGGGUCGGAAGUGGAGAAAGGAACAGACCACGACGCUUCUGUCCUGCUGGACCACGGUGAUCUCAUGCAGCAGAUGUUCAGCCAGAGCUACUACAGGCCGAAGAUACCGGAGGCCAGCGGCGGCCACCACGCCGAUGACUUCUUCGCUGACCUCGCCGAGCUGGAGUCGGAUCCCAUGAGCCUCAUCUUCCCAGGCGGUGAUCCUGGGAAGAAGGGAAGAAUGUCCAGCGAGAGCUUGGGCAUGGGCACCGACCCAUUAUUCAACAUGCUAGAUUGGGGUGCCAGUGCCACUGAUGUUGCUGCUACUUCUGCAGGGAGUUCAUUUGAGCAAGACGAAGAGUGGUUGGCGUGACAUCGUUUAGCUUGCGCCGGCAACCUCAAGCAUGCAUAUAUGCACGCAACACGUAGGUAGACAGCCCAACCGGUUUGUUGUUGACAAAUACCUUAUGGCAGUGUGUCUGCUCCGUGCUCCCCUCUCUAGCUCUCCUAGCGCUACCUCAAGUGCUCAACACUACACUAGGAUAAGAUCAUCAAAACUUUAGAAAGCAGAAGGCCAAAAGUAGAGGAGACAUGCAGACAUGUAUUUGUUGUCAUUUGAGAAUGUAUUUGUUGACAUGCAGACAUGUACUUAAAUUGUUUAUUUAUCACGCAUACACGUAUUUGUUGAUAACUAGCUAAUCAUACAAAUAUGUGCAACUUUCUGUUCUGAA
Zea mays is the source of this 2294-nucleotide RNA transcript. It is a transcript of the gene named probable WRKY transcription factor 14, with no coding region annotated. The transcript is spliced from 4 exons. The record is from RefSeq and is a predicted model, not a curated record. Lineage: Eukaryota; Viridiplantae; Streptophyta; Magnoliopsida; Poales; Poaceae.